CAUCUGGCAUGCAAGCCACAAUGCAGUUGCCUGAAACAUGCAACCAAAGAGGACUCUACAAGAAAGAGCCAGAAUCCCAGCUCCCAAACGUGGCAGAGAAUUGAAAACAGUGGAGUGCUUAAAAAAACAUGGGUCUGGAACUACACCCCUAUUCUGCCACUUUCGAUCUCUGGAGUUCACAUGCAGGAAAGAGGGACGAGGGUCAGAACUGAAACUCUGGAGGAAUGUCCCAGCAGCUGACUACGGGUGCAGUCCUGAGAAGUACAUCUCCACUGUUUCAGGGUCUUCAGAAGCAGGGAUGUGUUUUCCUUUCACUUCAAUGGACCUUUCGACAGCUUCUGAGUUUUCUAUUCCUUCUCACUUAAAGGCUGGAUUACAGUCGACCUGAUCAGGGGGCAAAAUGAUGGUGGUCCAUAUUCUGAUGCUGAAGCUAAAGCUCCAAUACUUUGGCCACCUGCUGAGAAGAGCUGACUCAUUGGAAAAGGCCCUGAUACUGGGAAAGAUUGAAGGCAAAAGGAAAAGGUGGCAGAAGAUGAGAUGGUUAAAAAGCAUCACCGACUCAAUGGACAUGAAUUUGAGCAAACUUCGGGAGAUAGUGAAGGACAGGGAAGCCUGGCAUGCUGCAGUCAAUGGGGUAUCAAAAAUCGGACACGACUGAGUGACUGAACAACAAUACUCUGAUAAGUCCUUGACCUCACUGAGCUCAUGGUUGCUCAGGCAAUUCACAUAAGCACCCAGGUAACUCCCAUAUAGUAGGAUAUUGGAGAGGACAAUCCAACAGUUCAUUAAGACACAGGGUGGGUGUGGGAAAGACUUCCUUGUGGAAAGGAUACCUAAGCUGUAAAGUUAAUGAAGGUAGGGAUCUUCUGAUCACUGUAGACCUGUGAUGUCCAAGGGAAAUCUCUGCAGGGAUGGAAUAAUCAAUAACAGCACCAUCCAAGAUGGUGGCCACUAGCCACAUAUGAUGAUUGAGUGCCUAAAAUGUGCCAAGUGCAAGCUACAUUUUUAAUGCUAUUUCAUUUUAAUUUUUUUUAGUUUCAAUUUCAAUAGCCACUUCAGGUUAGUAGCUAAUGUACGAGGUAGCGCAGCUCUAGACAGAGAGAAAAACUCAUGUGAAGAUGCAGAGGUGAGGGAGUUCUUAUACUUUUAAGACCUGAUAUUUUGAAGAGAAGAUUUAUGAAGGACGAGAGUUUCAGAAAUUAACAGAGGCAAUUCACAACUUACUAAAAAGUUCAGGCUUUCACCGAGGGCCAUGGAAAAGCCAUUGAAUGACAGUAAGGAAAGAGAUGUGAUCAGAUUGGCAUUUUAGUAAAACCACUUCAACUGCUGUUAUAAAAAUAUCUAGAACUAUUAGCAUUUUAUAUUAACAAACUUUUCUGAUACCUCAACCUCAUUUACCCUUCCAAUCAACUAUAUGAGAUAGAUUUAUAACACAUCUCCCAUCAUACAGCUUUACAUACCUGUCUUCAGCUUAGCAAUUUAUGUUCAUACCAUGACACACUCCCAGAAGACAGAGUUGACAAAAGUAAAACAUUCGCCUGAUAUUUGUGCACAAAUUCAGGCAUAAGGAUUUUUGAUGAAUCAAUUUGGAAAUGGCACCAGGUUAAAGUAGAGUGUGUUCAUCACUCAGUCAAGUCUGACUCUUUGCAACCCCAUGGACUAUAGCCCACCAGGCUCCUCUGUCCACGGAAUUCUCCAGGCCAGAAUACUAGAGGGGGUUGCUAUUUCCUCUUCCGGGGAUCUUCUGAUCCAGGGAUCAAACCCUGGUCUCCUGCAUUGCAAGCAGAUUUUUUACCCUCUAAGCCACCUGGGAAGCACCAGACUACUUCAAAGAAAUGUUGAAGAUUUUUUUCCUAUAAUGUGACCUGAUUUGGAGGUGUAAAUCUGUCUGGCUGUGACCUGCGGGCUGCCCACCAUCCUAGCACGUGUGUGAUCUCCUCCGGCUGUUGGUGGUGAGAGGGAUGAACUUGCCUGUGCACACAGGAGCCGUGAUGAUGCUGGAGCAGACUCGCCCUGCUUCACGAGCAUUUCCUUUCCCUCACAUGUGCAUCUCCAUCUUCUCCUCCCAGACUAGUUGAAAAGAGAACCCAGCCUAGACAAGGCUGGCCACGGCCAUAUGCCGCCAGGCCACGGUUGCUGACCUGACUCUCCAUGUCAGGUCUGCAAAAAUAAAAGAUGGCACCUUUCCA
Long non-coding RNA from Bos indicus x Bos taurus (hybrid cattle), 2189 nucleotides. Lineage: Eukaryota; Metazoa; Chordata; Mammalia; Artiodactyla; Bovidae. The record is from Ensembl.